AGAGGGGAUUCCGUCGAAGAUAAGGAUGGACGACGGCCGGAAUUGCAACGGCACAGUCGUUAAAGAAGCGGAAAAUCAAAAGCAGACGGUGUGCAGACAGUGCAAACAGCUGUACACGGCGGUAUCCAAUUCUCCUGAUUCUUGCCGAUUUCACCCCUCAUUCUUCGUCUGCCGCCGCCACGACGAUCAAAAGAGGUUUAUUUUUACCCCUAUAAUGGAUUCGAUUUGCAUCUAUUCUCUAUUUUGUGAGGAUACUGGUUCCAACAGUGGAAAUUAAGUUAGGAUAGUUAUCGGGGAAAUUUUCAGUAGUGAAGUCGACUGAAGUUAUCGUUUCGAUUACUGUAGAUGGUGCAGAGCCAUUUCAUAUAACCAUUUUUUGCUGUGAAUUGUGAUAUUUUACUCACAAGCUAAAAGUCUAUCUGUAUUAUGUCAUCUAUGUAUGUGAACUCUUUGGCUCAUUAGAUGAAACAAACACCCAUUAGCAGCCGUCUAUGUCAGAGCCUAAAACCAGCAAAGCGAGCAAAAGAAUUUCCAUGUCUAGAUGUGACCUUACACUUACAAGUUUCCAAGGGUUUUUAAAAUAGAAUUACAAUUGAGGCAUUUCUUUAUGUUACUAUAAGUUAUCCCAUCAGUGUUUGCUCAUCCCUAGACGUCAAUAUAUAUGGCUGCUAAGCAGCCUGACCUCACAUGAAAAACAUAUGCUGUGCCAUAACAUUGAGUCAUUGACACUGCUGUGGAGGAAACAAUUAUGUUGGAGGAGAUUUUUCCGAAUUCUUAUAUUGAGUCUUUAUAUUCAUAUCUCUCUCAGUAGAUAAAUAGAGAUUUUGGCUGCCUGCACCAUUGAAUCAUAUGAUAUUUUGUUUGGCUUUUAUACUUGAUCACCUUGAAAAAAGACUGUAGAAGACAUCUAUCAUAAGUUCAUAACUACCUAUCAUGAUUGAUUUUGAGUCUUGAUAUUGACUUUAUUAGUUACAGAAAUGAAUUUUUGAAAGAACAUUUGGCCAAUAUAUAGAGAGUUGAUUUAUUGUCAUCAUCUUCUUCAUCCUUUCUUAUCAGGGAGGGGGGGUUCACUUUUCUAUACACUACUAGUCUGCAUGCGACUUGUGAUGACUUCUGUAGUUGCAACCAUCAUUGUUGUUGUGUAGGUGAAAAUGCAGAAGAAUUUACCUUUAUGCACUUUUUGAGUUUGUGAUAGGACUGCAGAGCAAUCAAAGGCUGUUUAUUGCUUGAAUAAAUUAUAAAGACACUAAAGGAACUAGGUAAUCCCAUCAUAGCUUACAGCUUGUCCAACUCCAAGCCAAUUUAUUCACUAAUUUCCUUCAUGAUCCCUCUUGUAUGAUAUUCUACGCUAUAACUAGGACAUAAUCUUUCCUAAAAUGAGCAAAUUAAAUCAUAUGCAUAACUAUAAAAAAAAUUCAAUUUACUGAUUAAUUGAUUUUAUUUCCCUUCUAUAGUACAUCAAAAUAUUCUCAUUGCUAUCAAUACCACCUUCUAGAAAAAAUCAUUGUCCUUAUGGCUGUAAUAAGGAAACUACCCUUUUAAAUUAUCCAUGUCUUUGGGCUCCCCCAACACUAGUAGCAAUUGCUUUGGACCUAGGCAAUUGUUUGGUGAUUUUUCUUUGUAUUUUCAUGGCUAGAGCAUUGCAUCAAACACAUUCAUCAUAUCUUCGACUGCAUUCAUACCCAUAUUCUUCUUGUAGACUGUUGAGACAUAAUCCUAUACAAUAUUAUUUGAAAUUCAUGGUUGGAGAAUGUUGGGCCACAAUUAGUGGCACUAUCCUUUUUCACCACAAUAAGAUCAACCUUUGAUUUUUUUCCUAUCCUUAGUACUGGAUGAUGUUCAACUGUUGGUAUUCCAACCAAGUGAUCAAUAUUGUUGAAAUUUGGUAAGUCCACCUUCUUGCCCAAGCUGUGGGGGUCGAAGUUGGAUUGACCGUUGGUUUGAUUGUAUUUGGAUUGACUAUGUCUUAUUGACUUUUUUGUGGCGAGUGAUAGAGUAAAGGCGUAUGAUGAUGAAGAGAUAAGAAAGAAAAUAAAAAUACAAUAUAUAAAACUCCUCCUGCGAGGCCCUCAGAGAAAAAUAUCUCUGCCCUACAGCUAUUGUUGUCCCUAAACAAUGAUCCCAAGAUAUCCUUAACCCUAAGUCGUAAAGAACUAUAUAUAGACCUAAUGACUUGAGGCCCAAUUAAAUGACUUGGAGCCCAUGAGUCUGACCUAAAUAACUUAACCCUAAAUAAUUGAACUACUGCGAAAAAUAAAAGAUAACUAUGAAACUAACAAAAACUAAUAAAAUAAAGAUAAUCCUAAAUCUACAG
RNAcentral lists this long non-coding RNA (2314 nucleotides) under Salvia miltiorrhiza (redroot sage). Its description in RNAcentral is "long non-coding RNA (SMIL_LNC006863)". The record is from RNAcentral. Lineage: Eukaryota; Viridiplantae; Streptophyta; Magnoliopsida; Lamiales; Lamiaceae.